UGGCGACCCCGGAAGUGGGUCGGGGGCUUGGCCUCGGCCAGGCCAAGGAGCCGGCACAGAUAGUGGUGGCCGCUGGAGUCCGGCCAACCGAGCCUGUCCGGUGGCGGAGGCCGGAUGCGGCCCGAGCCGGGGGCCCAGGAUGCUGAACGUCCCUUCCCAGGCUUUCCCGGCCCCCGGCUCCCAGCAGCGCGUUGCCUCCCAGGGGCGUAGCAAGGGUUUGUUUACAAUGUCAGCCCAUAUAUGGAGUAUCAUCCUGGUGGGGAGGAUGAGCUUAUGAGAGCCGCAGGAGCAGAUGGAACGGAUCUUUUUAAUGAGACUGUCAUGAAGGAAAGAGAGUCUUAAAUGGCAUGCUUCCCAAGAGCCAAGUGACAGACACACUGCCCAGGGAAGGCCCCAGUUCUCCAAGCUAUGAUUGGUUCCAAACAGAGUCUUCAGUGACCAUUGUUAUAUACACCAAGCAGAAGAAUAUCAAUUUAGACUCAGUAAUCGUUGACCUCCAGGAUGACUCCUUGAGAGCAGAAGCAGUCAUCAAGGAUCAUUCUUAUCUUAUACAUAUUGGGUUAAGCCAUGAAGUUCAAGAAAAUUUUUCUGUACGGGUUAUUGAGAAUGUUGGAAAAAUAGAGAUUGUCCUACAAAAGAAAGAAACUGUUUCUUGGAAAUGUCUUGGUGAUCCCCUGGAGAAACAUGAUUCUUUUAUUCCAAAGAAAGAUACAGGCUUGUACUAUAGACAGUGCCAGUUAAUUUCCAAGGAAGACGUUACUCAUGACACAAGGCUCUUCUGUCUGAUGCUGCCUCCCAGUACUCACCUUCAGGUGCCAGUUGGGCAACAUGUUUACCUCAAGCUCAGUGUCACAG
RNAcentral lists this long non-coding RNA (855 nucleotides) under Rattus norvegicus (Norway rat). Its description in RNAcentral is "long non-coding RNA NONRATT027933". The record is from RNAcentral. Lineage: Eukaryota; Metazoa; Chordata; Mammalia; Rodentia; Muridae.